GGGUCAGUAGGUUGGUCGUGCCACCGGUACGUACUGGUCUCACUGAUUCCUCCUUCCUGAAGAACCGUAAUGCCAUUAAUUUGGUGUUGCGGGGAAACAGGACUGUUACUUUGAAAAAAUUAGAGUGUUUAAAGCAAGCUAACGCUUGAAUACAUUAUCAUGGAAUAAUGAAAUAGGACGAUCGAUCAUAUUUUGUUGGUUUCUAGGAUUGACGUA
This 216-nucleotide ribosomal RNA is filed under the name Glomeromycotina sp. RNAcentral describes it as "partial small subunit ribosomal RNA". The stretch from base 40 to 216 matches the Rfam family "Eukaryotic small subunit ribosomal RNA", at positions 686 to 864 of the family's 1831-position model. The record is from RNAcentral. Lineage: Eukaryota; Fungi; Glomeromycota.